Carica papaya (papaya) is the source of this 483-nucleotide non-coding RNA. NCBI's taxonomy places the organism in Eukaryota, Viridiplantae, Streptophyta, Magnoliopsida, Brassicales, Caricaceae. The record is from RefSeq and is a predicted model, not a curated record.
CAUAUACCCCCGUGUGGCAAAUAUAUUCUUAGCUAAUAAAAAAAUUUAGCCUUGUUGAAAUUGGGAAACGAAGGAUAUUUCUGCAGUAGAUUCUGUAUGAAAUUCAGAAGCCAGGGGAAUAAAUUCAUACCGUAGCAUGAAAAGUUAACUGAGAACUUUUGACGCUGUGUUUGUCUCAGAAAGAAUGCUGGACUGCUUAUGGAACUUGUUCUUCAGAAGGCAACUUGUACCAUAUCCAUUCAGAAAAUAGUGUAAGUAAUUCUUUGAAGGAAUGAGCAUAUAACCUUUCUAUCACCUCUAAUUUUGUUCUUGUGAAAUUUGAUUUAAUCUUUUUUGAGCACCCUCUUGUAUGUUUUCUACACCCUUGUCUUGCCUACAUACGUUUUCUUCAUUACAAGACCCCUCUUAACAAAAUGUAAAAAAGAGAAGAUUGAGAUCAGUAGAUUUCUAUUUGUAGACUGAAACUGAUAAGCUAAAUCUUAA